AAAAAAACCCUGUAGACAUAAGCUACAGGGCCCUUCUAUAUCCCUUUUAAAGGAUAGAAGGCAAAGGGAGAGGAGAAACCGGAGGAAGAACUUAUGGGGAAACGUAAGUCUUCUCCGCG
Molecule: non-coding RNA, 119 nt
Filed under: uncultured Neobacillus sp.
Lineage: Bacteria; Bacillati; Bacillota; Bacilli; Caryophanales; Bacillaceae
Description: ylbH leader
Rfam family: ylbH leader
About the family: This family is a putative regulatory RNA structure that is found upstream of the ylbH gene in B. subtilis and related low GC Gram-positive bacteria.
Source: RNAcentral